This 433-nucleotide ribosomal RNA is filed under the name uncultured bacterium. RNAcentral's name for it is "partial 16S ribosomal RNA". It matches the Rfam family "Bacterial small subunit ribosomal RNA", at positions 29 to 507 of the family's 1533-position model. The record is from RNAcentral.
AACGAACGCUGGCGGCAUGCCUAACACAUGCAAGUCGAACGAUGCCUUCGGGCAUAGUGGCGCACGGGUGCGUAACGCGUGGGAAUGUGCCUUUCGGUUCGGAAUCACUCAGGGAAACUUGAGCUAAUACCGGAUAACGUCGCAAGACCAAAGAUCUAUCACCGAAAGAUGAGCCCGCGUAGGAUUAGCUAGUUGGUGAGGUAAAGGCUCACCAAGGCGACGAUCCUUAGCUGGUCUGAGAGGAUGAUCAGCCACACUGGGACUGAGACACGGCCCAGACUCCUACGGGAGGCAGCAGUGGGGAAUAUUGGACAAUGGGCGAAAGCCUGAUCCAGCAAUGCCGCGUGAGUGAUGAAGGCCUUAGGGUUGUAAAGCUCUUUUACCCGGGAAGAUAAUGACAGUACCGGGAGAAUAAGCCCCGGCUAACUCCGUG